Oxyura jamaicensis (ruddy duck) is the source of this 190-nucleotide long non-coding RNA. RefSeq lists it as uncharacterized. Lineage: Eukaryota; Metazoa; Chordata; Aves; Anseriformes; Anatidae. The transcript is spliced from 3 exons. The record is from RefSeq and is a predicted model, not a curated record.
ACAUUAGGUCUUACAUAAACAUUUCAUAGAAUACCCUGAGCUGGAAUGGAUGCACAAGAAUCAUCAAGUCCAGCUCCUGGCUCCACACAGGACUACCCAAAAAUCAGACCAUAUUUCUGAGAGUGUUGUCCAAAUGCUUCUUGAACUCUGGCAGUCUCAGUGCUGUGAACACUUCCUUAGGAAGCCUGCU